This 60-nucleotide microRNA precursor is filed under the name Scyliorhinus torazame (cloudy catshark). RNAcentral describes it as "Sto-Mir-551-P2_pre stem-loop". It matches the Rfam family "mir-551 microRNA precursor family", at positions 9 to 66 of the family's 74-position model. Lineage: Eukaryota; Metazoa; Chordata; Chondrichthyes; Carcharhiniformes; Scyliorhinidae. The record is from RNAcentral.
GAAAUCAAGCUUGGGUGAGGCCUAUGACGUACAAAACAGGCGACCCAUACUUGGUUUCCG